This 447-nucleotide ribosomal RNA is filed under the name uncultured bacterium. RNAcentral describes it as "partial 16S ribosomal RNA". It matches the Rfam family "Bacterial small subunit ribosomal RNA", at positions 29 to 523 of the family's 1533-position model. The record is from RNAcentral.
AGCGAACGCUGGCGGCAGGCUUUACACAUGCAAGUCGAACGCCCCUUCGGGGGAGUGGCAGACGGGUGAGUAACGCGUGGGAAUUUGCCUUUUGGUGGGGAAUAACGCAGGGAAACUUGCGCUAAUACCGCAUAAGCCCGUGAGGGGAAAGAUUUAUCGCCAAAAGAUAAGCCCGCGUCUGAUUAGCUAGUUGGUGAGGUAAUGGCUCACCAAGGCGACGAUCAGUAGCUGGUCUGAGAGGAUGACCAGCCACACUGGGACUGAGACACGGCCCAGACUCCUACGGGAGGCAGCAGUGGGGAAUAUUGGACAAUGGGCGCAAGCCUGAUCCAGCCAUGCCGCGUGAGUGAUGAAGGCCUUAGGGUUGUAAAGCUCUUUUGUGUGGGAAGAUAAUGACUGUACCACAAGAAUAAGUCCCGGCUAACUUCGUGCCAGCAGCCGCAGUAA